GGAGGGUGUGACUAGUGACAGAGUGAGGGAGGGAAGGGUGACUAGUGAGAGUGAGGGAGGUGGUGAUUAGUGACAGAGGGAGGAAUGGGGUGACUAUCACUGUGUCACCCCCUUCCUCACUCUGUCACUAGUCACCCACUCCCUCCCUCACUCGGUCACUAGUCACCCCCUCUCUCACUCUGUCACCAGUCAUUCCCUCACUCUGUCACCAAUUAUCCCUUCCUUCCCUCACUCUGCCACUAGUCAUCCCUUCCCUCAC
This 259-nucleotide small RNA is filed under the name Pelobates cultripes (western spadefoot toad). The record is from RNAcentral. Lineage: Eukaryota; Metazoa; Chordata; Amphibia; Anura; Pelobatidae.